UAUAUAUAUAUAUAUAUAUAUAUAUUUGGAUUAGAUAAUAAGAUGGGAAAUGAUUAUUUUAAUUAAUCUACUGUUCAUACAAAAGAAGAGCCUCAUUCAUCAACAUAACAAACAGUCAUGGCGUGUACAGGAAGUGUGUGGGAAAUGUAAAAAAUCUGAAUGUUAACGUUAAGAUUUAUUUAUUUAUUUAUUUAUUUAUUUAUUUAUUUUGUAUGACAAUGACAGAACCACAUCUCUCUCCAUCAUCAUCAUCAUCAUCAUCAUCAUCAUCUCCCUCGGUUGAAUUCUUCUGAAGGAAGGGGAUCAGGUUCACGUUUUGACCCAAACCCCCGUUACAUUUUUCACGAACGCUGUCCUGAGACACAGGCUGUUGUGUAGACGUACAGUAAAUCGUGUGUUUAUUAGAUAACUCGAUCGGCGCAGCAGACGAACCGGUGUAUCAGUGAUAUAGACGGUGACGGUGGAGGCGCGGUGGUAGCGUCCGGAACGCUCCAUUGUGAGCUCGGGUUACUCUCUGUCUGGAUCCGUGUGUGUGCGGAAUAAAACACGGCCUCGGGGUGCGAGUGACUGCGUGAGGGAGUGUGUGAGUAAUAAGUGUGUGUGUGUGAGUGAGUGUGUGAGUAAUAAGUGUGUGUGAGUGAGUGUGUGAGUAAUAAGUGUGUGUGUGAGUGAGUGUGUGAGUAAUAAGUGUGUGUGAGUGAGUGUGUGAGUAAUAAGUGUGUGUGAGUGAGUGUGUGAGUAAUAAGUGUGUGUGUGAGUGAGUGUGUGAGUAAUAGUUGUGUGUGUGUGUGAGUGAGUGUGUGAGUAAUAAGUGUGUGUGUGUGAGUGAGUGUGUGAGUAAUAAGUGUGUGUGUGUGUGAUUGAGUGUGUGAGUAAUAAGUGUGUGUGUGUGAGUGAGUGUGUGAGUAAUAAGUGUGUGUGUGAGUGAGUGAGUGUGUGAGUAAUAAGUGUGUGUGUGUGAGUGAGUGUGUGAGUAAUAAGUGUGUGUGUGUGAGUGAGUGUGUGAGUAAUAAGUGUGUGUGUGAGUGAGUGUGUGAGUAAUAAGUGUGUGUGUGUGUGAGUGAGUGUGUGAGUAAUAAGUCUGUGUGAGUAAUAAGUGUGUGUGUGUGAGUGAGUGUGUGAGUAAUAAGUCUGUGUGAGUAAUAAG
Molecule: long non-coding RNA, 1147 nt
Organism: Ictalurus punctatus (channel catfish)
Lineage: Eukaryota; Metazoa; Chordata; Actinopteri; Siluriformes; Ictaluridae
Source: Ensembl